GGUCUCAGUUCGGAUUGAAGGCUGAAAUUACGCCUUCCAUGAAGCUGGAAUUGCUAGUAAUGGCAGGUCAGCAUACUGCCGUGAAUACGUUCCCGGGCCUUGUACACACCGCCCGUCACACCAUGAGAGUUGGAAAUACCCGAAGCCUGUGAGCUAACAGUAAUGAGGCAGCAGUCGAAGGUAGAGCCAAUGAUUGGGGUGAAGUCGUAACAAGGUAUC
Molecule: ribosomal RNA, 219 nt
Filed under: uncultured bacterium
Lineage: Bacteria
Description: partial 16S ribosomal RNA
Rfam family: Bacterial small subunit ribosomal RNA
Source: RNAcentral